UGACAGCACUCUGGAGAGACUCAAUUAAGGGCGCCGAAGGGGCAAUACAAUGAUGUGUUGUAAAUCUCUCAGGCAAAAGGACAGAGGUUAACUA
This 94-nucleotide non-coding RNA is filed under the name Desulfitobacterium dichloroeliminans. RNAcentral describes it as "Glycine sequence". It matches the Rfam family "Glycine riboswitch aptamer". Rfam says of the family: This family represents the bacterial glycine riboswitch. Glycine riboswitches usually consist of two metabolite-binding aptamers domains with similar structures in tandem. The aptamers cooperatively bind glycine to regulate the expression of downstream genes. The record is from RNAcentral. Lineage: Bacteria; Bacillati; Bacillota; Clostridia; Eubacteriales; Desulfitobacteriaceae. RNAcentral also lists the same sequence under 1 other name.